RNAcentral lists this small RNA (62 nucleotides) under Pseudomonas sp. 21C1. RNAcentral's name for it is "Repression of heat shock gene expression (ROSE) element". It matches the Rfam family "Repression of heat shock gene expression (ROSE) element". The record is from Rfam by way of RNAcentral. Lineage: Bacteria; Pseudomonadati; Pseudomonadota; Gammaproteobacteria; Pseudomonadales; Pseudomonadaceae.
UGUGGGAUGCCGAAGUCGGGUCCCCUAAUCACUCGCUGAGAAACCAGGAGAACAUCAUGAGC